Molecule: ribosomal RNA, 239 nt
Filed under: uncultured bacterium
Lineage: Bacteria
Description: partial 16S ribosomal RNA
Rfam family: Bacterial small subunit ribosomal RNA
Source: RNAcentral
CCGGCGCACGGGUGGGUAACACGUAUCCAACCUGCCGUCUACUCUUGGACAGCCUUCUGAAAGGAAGAUUAAUACAAGAUGGCAUCAUGAGUCCGCAUGUUCACAUGAUUAAAGGUAUUCCGGUAGACGAUGGGGAUGCGUUCCAUUAGAUAGUAGGCGGGGUAACGGCCCACCUAGUCUUCGAUGGAUAGGGGUUCUGAGAGGAAGGUCCCCCACAUUGGUACUGAGACACGGACCAA